Molecule: unclassified non-coding RNA, 338 nt
Filed under: soil metagenome
Description: partial contains 5.8S ribosomal RNA, internal transcribed spacer 2, and large subunit ribosomal RNA
Rfam family: 5.8S ribosomal RNA (bases 1-120)
Source: RNAcentral
GAUGAAGAACGUAGCGAAAUGCGAUAAGUAAUGUGAAUUGCAGAAUUCAGUGAAUCAUCGAAUCUUUGAACGCACAUUGCGCCCGGCAGUACUCUGCCGGGCAUGCCUGUUCGAGCGUCAUUUCAACCCUCAAGCCCUGCUUGGUGUUGGGGUCCCACGGCCGCCGUGGGCCCUGAAAGGAAGUGGCGGGCUCGCUACAACUCCGAGCGUAGUAAUUCAUUAUCUCGCUUAGGGCGUUGGGCGGCGCUCCUGCCGUUAAAGAACCAUCUUUAACUCAAGGUUGACCUCGGAUCAGGUAGGAAUACCCGCUGAACUUAAGCAUAUCAAUAAUCGGAGGA